UAUAUAUAGGUGUAAUGAUGCACGGAGAAUUUUGAUUUCUCAAGAUUAGUUUAAUUCUAAAAUAUAUAA
Molecule: transfer RNA, 69 nt
Filed under: Phaenacantha marcida
Lineage: Eukaryota; Metazoa; Arthropoda; Insecta; Hemiptera; Colobathristidae
Description: tRNA-Gln
Source: RNAcentral